UGCAAGUCGAGCGAGAAAACCCUUCGGGGUUAGUACAGCGGCGGACGAGUGAGUAACACGUGGGAAUUUACCCUUCAGUGAAGAAUACCAUCGAGAAAUCGGUGUUAAUACUGCAUACGUUCCUUCGGGAAGAAAGGUGGCCUCUAGCUGCCGCUGAUGGAUAAGCCUGCGGACUAUUAGCUAGUUGGUGAGGUAAUGGCUCACCAAGGCGAUGAUGGUUAACCGGCCUGAGAGGGUGUACGGUCACGUUGGAACUGAGACACGGUCCAAACUCCUACGGGAGGCAGCAGUGAGGAAUAUUGCAUAAUGGGGGAAACCCUGAUGCAGCGACGCCGCGUGGAGGAUGAAGGUUUUCGGAUCGUAAACUCCUGUUAAGUGGGAAGAAAGAAUCGCUUUUAAUAGAAGCGAGAGAUGACAGUACCACUAGAGAAAGCACCGGCUAACUUCGUGCCAGCAGCCGCGGUAAUACGAGGGGUGCUAGCGUUAUUCGGAUUUAUUGGGCGUAAAGGGUACGUAGACGGCGUGCUAAGUUAGUUGUUAAAUCUCUCGGCCUAACCGAGAUCAAGCAAUUAAUACUGGCGUGCUAGAGGGUGAGAGAGAGGAGUGGAAUUCUCGGAGUAGCAGUAAAAUGCGUAGAUAUCGAGAGGAACACCGAUGGCGAAGGCAGCUCCUUGGCUCAUUCCUGACGUUGAGGUACGAAAGCGUGGGUAGCAAACAGGAUUAGAUACCCUGGUAGUCCACGCCGUAAACGAUGAUCACUAGACGUCUGCUUUGCUUAGCAAGGUAGGUGUCGCAGCUAACGCGUUAAGUGAUCCGCCUGGGGACUACGGUCGCAAGACUAAAACUCAAAGAAAUUGACGGGGAUCCGCACAAGCGGUGGAACAUGUGGUUUAAUUCGACACUACGCGAG
RNAcentral lists this ribosomal RNA (910 nucleotides) under uncultured bacterium. Its description in RNAcentral is "bacterial SSU rRNA". It matches the Rfam family "Bacterial small subunit ribosomal RNA", at positions 56 to 965 of the family's 1533-position model. The record is from RNAcentral.